RNAcentral lists this ribosomal RNA (549 nucleotides) under Triticum aestivum (bread wheat). RNAcentral's name for it is "partial small subunit ribosomal RNA". The record is from RNAcentral. Lineage: Eukaryota; Viridiplantae; Streptophyta; Magnoliopsida; Poales; Poaceae.
AUGAUCUCUAUUAACACUCCUCCUGUGAAGAUGAUUGAACUUCCAAGCAUUUUAGGAUGCAAGAUUGGUAAUCUGCCACUUAAUUAUCUGGGGCUCCCUCUAUGUCUAUCUAGGCCUAAAAUUGAGGAUUUUAUACCUUUGCUUCAAAGGAUUGAGAAGAGACUGCUAAGCUGCUCUACCAUGUUGUCCACUGGGGACAAACUCACCCUCAUAAAAUCCAUCUUCACAAGUAUGCCCACUUUUUUCAUGAGCACUCUGAUGAUACCCAAAACAGUUGUCAAGCAAAUCAACACUUACCUCAUGAACUACUUUUGGAGAAGAUAUGGUACCUUGGAUAGAGGCUCUGUACUAAUUGCCUGGGACAAAGUUAACAGACCUAAAAACCAUGGUGGACUUGGGGUUUUAGGUCUCCACAUACAUAACAAGGCACUCCUCCUGAAAUUCUUGCAUAAGUUCUUCAACAAAGUGGACACACCAUGUGUACAUAUCAUUUGGGAAAAGCACUACCAUAACAGGCUACCUGGGGAGCAGAAAGUGAGAUCUUUCUGA